Molecule: ribosomal RNA, 492 nt
Filed under: uncultured bacterium
Lineage: Bacteria
Description: partial 16S ribosomal RNA
Rfam family: Bacterial small subunit ribosomal RNA
Source: RNAcentral
AGUGAACGCUGGCGGUAGGCCUAACACAUGCAAGUCGAACGGCAGCACAGUAAGAGCUUGCUCUUACGGGUGGCGAGUGGCGGACGGGUGAGGAAUACAUCGGAAGCUACUUUUUCUUGGGGGAGAACGUAGGGAAACUUACGCUAAUACCGCAUACGACCUACGGGUGAAAGCAGGGGAUCUUCGGACCUUGCGCGAUUGAAUGAGCCGAUGUCGGAUUAGCUAGUUGGCGGGGUAAAGGCCCACCAAGGCGACGAUCCGUAGCUGGUCUGAGAGGAUGAUCAGCCACACUGGAACUGAGACACGGUCCAGACUCCUACGGGAGGCAGCAGUGGGGAAUAUUGGACAAUGGGCGCAAGCCUGAUCCAGCCAUACCGCGUGGGUGAAGAAGGCCUUCGGGUUGUAAAGCCCUUUUGUUGGGAAAGAAAAGCAGCAGGUUAAUACCCCGCUGUUCUGACGGUACCCAAAGAAUAAGCACCGGCUAACUUCGUG